AUGUUUGUUAAUUGUCAUAUAGACCAUGGCACAUUUCUUUCCUUCAUUCCUCACAUUUUCCUUAAAGCUCCCUCUGUUUCUGCACAUGAACUUCAAACCUGGCAACAAAAAAAUCUUCAGGCCCUGUGUCCUCCAUCCUCCAGUGUGAGAGUAACAACCUGCAGAUAUUUUAAACCCUGCAAACUCUUGUGUCUUUCAGGACCUAGAUUUCUCAUCACAUCCACGGGAGCCUUGUAUAUUUUAGACGUACAAAAUGAAGAUGGACUGUACAACUACCGAUGUAUCACAAGGCACAGAUACACUGGAGAAACACGACAGAGCAACAGCGCAAGACUUUUUGUAUCAGACCCAGCGAAUUCAGCUCCAUCUAUCCUAGAUGGGUUUGACCACCGCAAAGCCAUGGCAGGACAGCGAGUGGAGCUGCCUUGCAAAGCAUCAGGGCACCCAGCACCAAAGUACCGCUGGCUGAAGGACAACGUGCCCUGGGAGCCCGACAGCCGCUUCCGGCAGACGGUGACGGGGCUGCUCAUCGAGAACACGCGGCCCUCGGACUCGGGCAGCUACGUCUGCGAGGUGUGGAACAACUACGGCACCGCCGAGGUCAUCGGCCGCCUCCACGUCAAACAACCACUCAAAGCCACCAUCAGCCCGCGCAAAGUCAAAAGCAGCGUCGGUAGCCAAGUGUCCUUGUCCUGCAGCGUGACGGGGACCGAGGACCAGGAGCUGUCCUGGUACCGCAACGGGGAAAUCAUCAACCCUGGCAACAACGUGCGCAUCACCGGGGUCAACCGCGAGAACCUGAUCAUGGACGGCAUGGCCAAGAGCGACGGCGGCGCCUACCAGUGCUUUGUGCGCAAGGACAAGAUGUCAGCUCAAGACUACGUACAGGUGGUGCUGGAAGACGGAACUCCCAAAAUCAUCUCCGCCUUCAGCGAGAAAGUGGUGAGCCCAGGAGAGCCAGUGUCCCUGAUGUGCAACGUGAAGGGGACUCCCCUGCCCACCAUCACCUGGACACUGGACGAGGAUCCCAUCGUGAAGGACGGCAGCCACCGGAUCAGCCAGAUCAUCACGUCCGAGGGCAACGUGGUCAGUUACCUGAACAUCUCCAACACCCAGGUCCGGGACGGAGGAGUUUAUCGCUGCACUGCCAACAACUCUGCGGGAGUCGUCCUGUACCAGGCUCGAAUAAACGUAAGAGGGCCAGCGAGCAUUCGGCCCAUGAAGAACAUCACGGCCAUCGCUGGGAGGGACACCUACAUCCACUGCAGGGUCAUCGGGUAUCCCUACUACUCCAUCAAGUGGUACAAGAACUCCAACCUGCUGCCCUUCAACCAUCGCCAAGUGGCGUUCGAGAACAACGGCACGCUGAAGCUCUCGGACGUGCAGAAGGAGGUGGACGAGGGCGAGUACACCUGCAAUGUCCUGGUCCAGCCCCAGCUGUCCACCAGCCAGAGCGUGCACGUGACGGUGAAAGUCCCACCUUUCAUCCAACCUUUCGAGUUCCCUCGCUUCUCCAUCGGGCAGAGGGUCUUCAUCCCCUGCGUGGUGGUCUCGGGGGACCUGCCCAUCACCAUCACCUGGCAGAAGGACGGCCGGCCCAUCCCCGCCAGCCUGGGCGUCACCAUCGACAACAUCGACUUCACCAGCUCCCUGAGGAUCUCCAACCUCUCCCUGAUGCACAACGGGAACUACACCUGCAUCGCCAGGAACGACGCGGCAGCCGUGGAGCACCAGAGCCAAUUAAUCGUCAGGGUGCCCCCCAGGUUUGUGGUCCAGCCCAGCGACCAGGACGGGAUCUAUGGGAAAGCCGUCAUUCUGAACUGCUCUGCCGAGGGUUAUCCCGUCCCCACCAUUGUCUGGAAGUACUCCAAAGGUGCCGGGGUUCCCCAGUUCCAGCCGAUCGCGCUGAACGGUCGGAUCCAGCUGCUCACAAACGGCUCCUUGCUGAUCAAACAUGUGCUGGAAGAAGACAGUGGAUACUACCUCUGCAAGGUCAGCAAUGAUGUGGGAGCAGACGUCAGCAAGUCCAUGUACCUCACUGUUAAAAUUCCAGCUAUGAUAACCUCCUACCCAAACACCACCCUGGCAACUCAAGGCCAAAAGAAGGAGAUGAGCUGCACGGCACAUGGAGAGAAACCCAUCAUAGUCCGCUGGGAGAAGGAAGACCGGAUCAUUAACCCCGAAAUGUCCCGUUACCUGGUUUCCACCAAGGAGGUUGGGGAUGAAGUGAUUUCUACCCUGCAGAUUCUGCCAACUGUGCGUGAAGAUUCUGGCUUCUUCUCCUGCCACGCCAUCAAUUCUUACGGGGAGGAUCGUGGAAUAAUUCAGCUCACUGUGCAAGAGCCCCCUGACCCCCCUGAGAUAGAGAUCCGGGAGGUGAGAGCUCGGAGCAUCGCCCUCAGGUGGACCAUGGGCUUCGACGGCAACAGCCCCAUCACCGGCUACGACAUCGAGUGCAAGAACAAGUCAGACUCUUGGGAUUCUGUCCAGAGAACAAGAGAUGUUUCCCCUCAGCUAAACCAAGCCACCAUCAUCGACCUGCACCCGUCCUCCACCUACAACAUCCGCAUGUACGCCAAGAACCGCAUCGGCAAGAGCGAGGCCAGCAAUGAGCUCACCAUCACCACUGAUGAAGCAGCCCCUGAUGGUCCACCUCAGGAUGUGCAGCUUGAGCCUAUAUCUUCCCAGAGCAUCAGAGUCACCUGGAAGGCUCCAAAGAAGCACUUGCAGAAUGGAAUUAUCCGUGGGUACCAGAUAGGUUAUCGGGAGUACAGCGCGGGGGGAAAUUUCCAGUUCAACAUCAUCAGCAUCGACACCACCGGGGACAGUGAGGUGUAUACACUGAAUAACCUGAAAAAAUUCACCCAGUAUGGCAUGGUGGUACAGGCCUGUAACCGGGCUGGGAUUGGACCUUCUUCUCAGGAAAUCAUCACCACCACUCUUGAGGACGUGCCCAGUUGCCCUCCAGGGAAUGUGCAAGCCACCGCCACGUCCCCAGAAACCAUCUCCAUUUCCUGGUCAACGCUGGCAAAGGAAACCCUGAACGGGAUCCUGCAGGGAUUCAGGGUCAUCUACUGGGCCAACCUCUUGGAUGGAGAGCUGGGAGAGAUAAAGAAUGUCACCACUACCCAACCAUCCCUGGAGCUGGAUGGCCUGGAAAAAUACACCAACUACAGCAUCCAGGUGUUGGCUUUUACCCGAGCUGGGGAUGGAGUGAGGAGCGAGCAGAUUUUCACCCGCACUAAAGAGGAUGUUCCAGGUCCUCCUGCUGGAGUUAAAGCAGCUGCUGCCUCAGCCUCCACGGUUUUUGUGUCCUGGCUGCCUCCCCUGAAGCUGAACGGCAUCAUCCGGAAAUACACCGUGUUCUGCUCCCACCCCUACCCCACAGUGAUCAGCGAGUUUGAAGCCUCUCCCGACUCAUUUUCCUACAGAAUCCCCAACCUGAGCCGGAAUCGCCAGUACAGCGUGUGGGUGGUGGCCGUGACGGCUGCGGGGAGAGGCAACAGCAGCGAGAUCAUCACGGUGGAACCGCUGGCCAAAGCUCCUGCCAGGAUCCUGACGUUCAGCGGGACGGUGACAACGCCCUGGAUGAAGGACAUUGUCCUCCCUUGCAAAGCCGUGGGGGACCCUGCUCCAACAGUCAAGUGGAUGAAGGAUAGUCUAGUGAUGAUUGAUGGGCGAAGGAGCAUCUUCAGCAACGGCAGCUUCGUCAUCAGGACUGUGAAAGCAGAAGACUCUGGCUACUACAGCUGUGUGGCCAGCAACAACUGGGGCUCAGAUGAAAUCAUUUUGAAUUUGCAGGUACAAGUUCCACCAGACCAGCCAAGACUCACUGUAUCCAAAACUACAUCUUCCUCUAUCACACUUUCUUGGAUACCUGGAGACAAUGGUGGCAGUUCUAUCCGAGGUUAUAUCCUGCAGUACUCAGAGGAUAACAGUGAGCAGUGGGGCAGUUUCCCCAUCAGCCCCAGUGAGAGGUCCUACAGGCUGGAAACGCUGAAAUGUGGCACCUGGUACAAGUUCACCCUGACUGCUCAGAACGGGGUGGGGCCGGGGCGCAUCAGCGAGAUCAUCGAGGCCAAGACGCUCGGCAAAGAGCCACAGUUUUCCAAGGAGCAAGAGCUCUUUGCCAGCAUCAACACCACGCGGGUGAGGCUGAACCUGAUCGGCUGGAACGAUGGUGGCUGCCCCAUCACCUCCUUCACCCUGGAGUACCGACCCUUUGGGACCACGGUCUGGACAACAGCCCAGAGGACAUCCCUGUCCAAGUCCUACAUCCUCUACGACCUCCAGGAGGCCACCUGGUACGAGCUGCAAAUGAGAGUGUGCAACAGUGCUGGCUGUGCAGAGAAACAAGCCAAAUUUGCCACGCUCAAUUAUGAUGGCAGUACAAUCCCACCUCUCAUCAAGUCGGUUGUGCAAAGUGAGGAAGGGCUGGGAACCAACGAAGGGCUGAAGAUGCUGGUGACCAUCUCCUGUAUCUUGGUUGGGGUCUUGCUGCUCUUUGUGAUGCUGCUGAUCGUGAGGAGGAGGAGGAGGGAGCAGAGGCUGAAGAGGCUGCGAGGUAAGGGGGUGUCUGUGGAACUUCUCUCUGCAUCCACGGUUCUGCUGACUGAUGCUGACUUUGGAGAGACGUCCAAGCAGAAGUCCCUGACUGUCACCCACACGGUCCAUUACCAGUCGGUGUCACAAGCCACAGGGCCACUGGUGGAUGUCUCUGAUGCCCGGCCAGGAACGAAUCCCACCACGAGGAGGAGUGCCAAAACCGGACCCACCGCGCGCAACCGCUACGCCAGCCAGUGGACCCUCAACAGGCCCCACCCCACCAUCUCAGCACACACCCUCACCACAGACUGGAGGCUCCCCACGCCCAGGCCAGCAGGAUCAGUGGACAAGGAAAGUGACAGCUACAGCGUCAGCCCCUCGCAGGACACAGACCGGGCGAGGAGCAGCAUGGUCUCCACAGAAAGUGCCUCCUCCACCUACGAAGAGCUGGCCAGGGCCUACGAGCACGCCAAGAUGGAAGAGCAGCUGAGGCACGCCAAGUUCACCAUCACCGAGUGCUUCAUCUCAGACACGUCCUCGGAGCAGCUGACGGCAGGGACCAACGACUACACGGACAGCCUGACGUCCAGCACGCCCUCCGAGUCGGGCAUCUGCCGCUUCACCGCCUCCCCGCCCAAGCCGCAGGACGGAGGGCGCGUGACCAACAUGGCAGUGCCCAAGGCACACCGCCCAGGUGAGGCAGCUGGGAGAACAUCUGGGGCACUCCAGGGAGGGUUUCAGCCCACGCCCAGGCUGGGAAGCAGGAGAGGGUGGGAUGCCACCUUCAGGUACAUUUCAGGCAAAGUCCCCCCAGGGCCUACACCCAACAUGGAUGAUGGAUCAUGGGUUUUCACACUUUUAUAA
Taeniopygia guttata (zebra finch) is the source of this 5409-nucleotide long non-coding RNA. NCBI's taxonomy places the organism in Eukaryota, Metazoa, Chordata, Aves, Passeriformes, Estrildidae. The record is from Ensembl.